Long non-coding RNA from Mustela lutreola (European mink), 1292 nucleotides. RefSeq lists it as uncharacterized. The transcript is spliced from 6 exons. Lineage: Eukaryota; Metazoa; Chordata; Mammalia; Carnivora; Mustelidae. The record is from RefSeq and is a predicted model, not a curated record.
CGUGCACCGUGCGCACGCAGCCCCGUGUGCUCGCCGAGACCGGGGCACGCCUGGCACACACCGCCACAGGUUGGCGUGUUCGAGAAGCGCCCACCAGCUCGACCUCACGACCUCCUGCCCAGCGGCCAGGGCGCCCCCCGGAAGCUCAGAUGCUAUGAUCAGAGAUAUAGGAGCUAACUGUGACUAUGAACUAUGAAAAUGAAACCCCGAAACUAAAGAUGACAGAAUAGAAAGGGUUCUUAUGUCCUGGAGUCCAAGAAUGAAUGUCACUGACACAGAAGGGUGAAGUGAUCGUUUAUUAAGUGAAGGACACCAUUGGAAGCAUUUGUUGUUCUACCAAGGCUUUGACUGGGAUAUUAUAUUUGAGAGACAUGCACAGACUCAUUGAUGACCAUACUGGCCUUAUGUCACAUGGAGCCAAUAAAGUCCCUUGGAACUGUUGGCCUGAUCCUUGCUUACGGAGGUCCUACCAGCUUUACCUAGCCAGUAAAAUAUGUCACUUCCUGGCAGGUGCAGGAACUUCAGGAGUUUUUGGGACCUUGAGAAAAGGAAUUUGCCCAAACCUACAGUGUUUCCCUGCCUGAUGCCAAGACUCCUUCUCUGCUGACAGAUUGAAUCCCGCUCGCAGAUGAUCCUUUCUACUCCAGGAGGUUCAUAGAUAUGCUGUCCACGUUGUAUUCAGCUGCAGAUUUGAUGAUGCUCUGCCUUUCAUAACCCCCUUAUACAUUCCCCGACUGACCAAUGAUGACCCACAAGCCCCCUGCUCUGCAGGAAGAAGCUACAGAAGAUGAGAGCUUGCACCUUCAACAAUCUUUAAGAUUUAAGGGUCAAAUUGUUCAGGGGAAAUGAUGAAGGAGCCUAAGGCAAGCAGACAGCAAAGCAGGAGCUGACACCACCCUCCUCCCCAUCAGCAGUACUUCAAGAUCAUCAACCUGACUCGGUCCGGUGGAUGAGGAAACAGAAGGCUGCCUGAAGACAAAGCAGAAGUUGAUACUUUAACCACCAGUCCCCACAACACACACUCCAGAGUGGGCCCUGGGUGACUUUCUUCCCUGAAUCUCCAACUCUGCUAAGGUUAAUGCCUUGCUAGAGGGAACAACACAACCUUAACUUGAUAAUGGCAAGACCUCUGGUAUCUUGUAGGUCUUCCUUAGCAUAUGAAACUUCUUUUGAAACUUCCCUUUUCUUUACCUCCUCCGACCCCAUAGUAUACGAUCAGUCACCCCUCACAACCCCAGGGCAGCAGCUCUUCCUGCCCAGGGAUCCUGUCCAAGAUCUUUAAUAAACAACCA